CAGGCCGUUGGAUUUAUCCAGUGGGCGCAGCUAACGCAUUAAGUUAUCCGCCUGGGGGAGUACGGCCGUAAGGCUAAAACUCAAAUGAAUUGACGGGGACCCGCACAAGCGGUGGAGCAUGUGGUUUAAUUCGAUGCAACGCGAAAAACCCUUACCUACAAUUGACAUACUGCGAAUUUUCUAGAGAUAGAUUAGUGCCCUUCGGGAACGCAGAUACAGGUGCUGCAUGGCUGUCGUCAGCUCGUGUCGUGAGAUGUUGGGUUAAGUCCUAUAACGAGCGCAACCCUUACCCUUAUUUGCCAGCGGUUCGGCCGGGAACUAUAAGGGAACUGCCGGUAAUAAGCCGGAGGAAGGUGGGGACGACGUCAAGUCAUCAUGGCCCUUACAUGUAGGGCUACACACGUGCUACAAUGGGAGAUACAAACGGUUGCCAAAGCGCGAGCUGGAGCUAAUCCGAGAAAGUCUCUCGUAGUCCGAAUUGCAGUCUGGAACUCGACUGCAUGAAGCCGGAAUCGCUAGUAAUCGCGGAUCAGCAUGCCGCGGUGAAUACGUUCUCGGGUCUUGUACACACCGCCCGUCACACCAUGGGAGUGCAUUGCACCAGAAGUAGAUAGCUUAACCUUCGGGAUGGCGUUUACCACGGUGUAGUCCAUGACUGGGGUGAAGUCGUAACAAGGUAA
RNAcentral lists this ribosomal RNA (680 nucleotides) under uncultured bacterium. Its description in RNAcentral is "bacterial SSU rRNA". It matches the Rfam family "Bacterial small subunit ribosomal RNA", at positions 816 to 1499 of the family's 1533-position model. The record is from RNAcentral.